RNAcentral lists this ribosomal RNA (971 nucleotides) under Pseudoalteromonas atlantica. Its description in RNAcentral is "bacterial SSU rRNA". It matches the Rfam family "Bacterial small subunit ribosomal RNA", at positions 38 to 1009 of the family's 1533-position model. Lineage: Bacteria; Pseudomonadati; Pseudomonadota; Gammaproteobacteria; Alteromonadales; Pseudoalteromonadaceae. The record is from RNAcentral.
AGCGGCGGCUACACAUGCAAGUCGAGCGGUAACAGAAAGUAGCUUGCUACUUUGCUGACGAGCGGCGGACGGGUGAGUAAUGCUUGGGAACAUGCCUUGAGGUGGGGGACAACAGUUGGAAACGACUGCUAAUACCGCAUAAUGUCUACGGACCAAAGGGGGCUUCGGCUCUCGCCUUUAGAUUGGCCCAAGUGGGAUUAGCUAGUUGGUGAGGUAAUGGCUCACCAAGGCGACGAUCCCUAGCUGGUUUGAGAGGAUGAUCAGCCACACUGGGACUGAGACACGGCCCAGACUCCUACGGGAGGCAGCAGUGGGGAAUAUUGCACAAUGGGCGCAAGCCUGAUGCAGCCAUGCCGCGUGUGUGAAGAAGGCCUUCGGGUUGUAAAGCACUUUCAGUCAGGAGGAAAGGUUAGUAGUUAAUACCUGCUAGCUGUGACGUUACUGACAGAAGAAGCACCGGCUAACUCCGUGCCAGCAGCCGCGGUAAUACGGAGGGUGCGAGCGUUAAUCGGAAUUACUGGGCGUAAAGCGUACGCAGGCGGUUUGUUAAGCGAGAUGUGAAAGCCCCGGGCUCAACCUGGGAACUGCAUUUCGAACUGGCAAACUAGAGUGUGAUAGAGGGUGGUAGAAUUUCAGGUGUAGCGGUGAAAUGCGUAGAGAUCUGAAGGAAUACCGAUGGCGAAGGCAGCCACCUGGGUCAACACUGACGCUCAUGUACGAAAGCGUGGGGAGCAACAGGAUUAGAUACCCUGGUAGUCCACGCCGUAAACGAUGUCUACUAGAAGCUCGGAGCCUCGGCUCUGUUUUUCAAAGCUAACGCAUUAAGUAGACCGCCUGGGGAGUACGGCCGCAAGGUUAAAACUCAAAUGAAUUGACGGGGGCCCGCACAAGCGGUGGAGCAUGUGGUUUAAUUCGAUGCAACGCGAAGAACCUUACCUACACUUGACAUACAGAGAACUUACCAGAGAUGG